This 586-nucleotide unclassified non-coding RNA is filed under the name Penicillium rubens. RNAcentral describes it as "sequence contains 18S rRNA gene, ITS1, 5.8S rRNA gene, ITS2, 28S rRNA gene". The stretch from base 220 to 372 matches the Rfam family "5.8S ribosomal RNA". The record is from RNAcentral. Lineage: Eukaryota; Fungi; Ascomycota; Eurotiomycetes; Eurotiales; Aspergillaceae.
UCGUAACAAGGUUUCCGUAGGUGAACCUGCGGAAGGAUCAUUACCGAGUGAGGGCCCUCUGGGUCCAACCUCCCACCCGUGUUUAUUUUACCUUGUUGCUUCGGCGGGCCCGCCUUAACUGGCCGCCGGGGGGCUUACGCCCCCGGGCCCGCGCCCGCCGAAGACACCCUCGAACUCUGUCUGAAGAUUGUAGUCUGAGUGAAAAUAUAAAUUAUUUAAAACUUUCAACAACGGAUCUCUUGGUUCCGGCAUCGAUGAAGAACGCAGCGAAAUGCGAUACGUAAUGUGAAUUGCAAAUUCAGUGAAUCAUCGAGUCUUUGAACGCACAUUGCGCCCCCUGGUAUUCCGGGGGGCAUGCCUGUCCGAGCGUCAUUUCUGCCCUCAAGCACGGCUUGUGUGUUGGGCCCCGUCCUCCGAUCCCGGGGGACGGGCCCGAAAGGCAGCGGCGGCACCGCGUCCGGUCCUCGAGCGUAUGGGGCUUUGUCACCCGCUCUGUAGGCCCGGCCGGCGCUUGCCGAUCAACCCAAAUUUUUAUCCAGGUUGACCUCGGAUCAGGUAGGGAUACCCGCUGAACUUAAGCAUAUCA